AGUCCAAGGAAGCAUACCGUGAAAUUCAUUUGCUCCCAGCCUUUCUGGGAACUCUUCUGGAAUGUCUGCUUAUUGCACAGACAAGAAGGAGGAGGAGGAGGCCUGGGACAAGGACAACAGCAAGGGGGCCAGAGUCCAAAGAAGAGGAGAACCAUUGUGUGGAUGGUGGGGUGGGAGGGCAUGCAAGAAAGGAGGGUGAGGUCAUCGCUGUUAUGAAGAGACUGUUUCCUCCCCAUUUAUGUUUCCCAUUCAAGUGACCACAGGAUAUGUGACCAUUAACAAUGACCUUACUUUUUCAUGGCGCUUUACCCUUUGCAAAGGAUGGUCACAUCCAGAGCCUUGAACACUUGAACACUUGAACACUUGAACACUAAAAUGUUGAGGGACGUCUGGGUGGCUUAGUCAGUGAAGCUUCCGACUCGGGCUCAGGUCAUGAUCUCAUGGUUCAUGGGUUCGAACUCUGUGUUAGACUCUGUGCUGACAGCUUUGGAUUCUGUGUUUCUUCUCUCUCUUCCCCUCCCCCACUCAUGCUCUGUCUCUCAAAAAAAGUGUUAAAAUUUUUAAAUAAAUAAAUAAAUAAAGUGUUGAAGUCA
RNAcentral lists this long non-coding RNA (593 nucleotides) under Felis catus (domestic cat). Its description in RNAcentral is "lncRNA (ENSFCAG00000048770.1)". Lineage: Eukaryota; Metazoa; Chordata; Mammalia; Carnivora; Felidae. The record is from RNAcentral.